Molecule: ribosomal RNA, 1499 nt
Filed under: metagenome
Description: bacterial SSU rRNA
Rfam family: Bacterial small subunit ribosomal RNA
Source: RNAcentral
AGAGUUUGAUCAUGGCUCAGAUUGAACGCUGGCGGCAGGCCUAACACAUGCAAGUCGAACGGUAACAGGAAGCAGCUUGCUGCUUCGCUGACGAGUGGCGGACGGGUGAGUAAUGUCUGGGAAGCUGCCUGAUGGAGGGGGAUAACUACUGGAAACGGUAGCUAAUACCGCAUAAUGUCGCAAGACCAAAGAGGGGGACCUUCGGGCCUCUUGCCAUCGGAUGUGCCCAGAUGGGAUUAGCUUGUUGGUGGGGUAACGGCUCACCAAGGCGACGAUCCCUAGCUGGUCUGAGAGGAUGACCAGCACACUGGAACUGAGACACGGUCCAGACUCCUACGGGAGGCAGCAGUGGGGAAUAUUGCACAAUGGGCGCAAGCCUGAUGCAGCCAUGCCGCGUGUAUGAAGAAGGCCUUCGGGUUGUAAAGUACUUUCAGCGGGGAGGAAGGGAGUAAAGUUAAUACCUUUGCUCAUUGACGUUACCCGCAGAAGAAGCACCGGCUAACUCCGUGCCAGCAGCCGCGGUAAUACGGAGGGUGCAAGCGUUAAUCGGAAUUACUGGGCGUAAAGCGCACGCAGGCGGUUUGUUAAGUCAGAUGUGAAAUCCCCGGGCUCAACCUGGGAACUGCAUCUGAUACUGGCAAGCUUGAGUCUCGUAGAGGGGGGUAGAAUUCCAGGUGUAGCGGUGAAAUGCGUAGAGAUCUGGAGGAAUACCGGUGGCGAAGGCGGCCCCCUGGACGAAGACUGACGCUCAGGUGCGAAAGCGUGGGGAGCAAACAGGAUUAGAUACCCUGGUAGUCCACGCCGUAAACGAUGUCGACUUGGAGGUUGUGCCCUUGAGGCGUGGCUUCCGGAGCUAACGCGUUAAGUCGACCGCCUGGGGAGUACGGCCGCAAGGUUAAAACUCAAAUGAAUUGACGGGGGCCCGCACAAGCGGUGGAGCAUGUGGUUUAAUUCGAUGCAACGCGAAGAACCUUACCUGGUCUUGACAUCCACGGAAGUUUUCAGAGAUGAGAAUGUGCCUUCGGGAACCGUGAGACAGGUGCUGCAUGGCUGUCGUCAGCUCGUGUUGUGAAAUGUUGGGUUAAGUCCCGCAACGAGCGCAACCCUUAUCCUUUGUUGCCAGCGGUCCGGCCGGGAACUCAAAGGAGACUGCCAGUGAUAAACUGGAGGAAGGUGGGGAUGACGUCAAGUCAUCAUGGCCCUUACGACCAGGGCUACACACGUGCUACAAUGGCGCAUACAAAGAGAAGCGACCUCGCGAGAGCAAGCGGACCUCAUAAAGUGCGUCGUAGUCCGGAUUGGAGUCUGCAACUCGACUCCAUGAAGUCGGAAUCGCUAGUAAUCGUGGAUCAGAAUGCCACGGUGAAUACGUUCCCGGGCCUUGUACACACCGCCCGUCACACCAUGGGAGUGGGUUGCAAAAGAAGUAGGUAGCUUAACCUUCGGGAGGGCGCUUACCACUUUGUGAUUCAUGACUGGGGUGAAGUCGGAACAAGGUA